GGAGGAAAGCAGGGGAUCGCAAGACCUCACGUUAUAGGAGCGGCCGAUGUCCGAUUAGCUAGUUGGUGGGGUAAAGGCCUACCAAGGCGACGAUCGGUAGCUGGUCUGAGAGGAUGAUCAGCCACACUGGGACUGAGACACGGCCCAGACUCCUACGGGAGGCAGCAGUGGGGAAUUUUGGACAAUGGGUGAAAGCCUGAUCCAGCCAUGCCGCGUGCGGGAAGAAGGCCUUCGGGUUGUAAACCGCUUUAGUCCGGGAAAAAGGGGUGCGAGGAUAAUACCCUUGUGCUUUGAUGGUACUGGAAGAAUAAGCACCGGCUAACUACGUGCCAGCAGCCGCGGUAAUACGUAGGGUGCGAGCGUUAAUCGGAAUUACUGGGCGUAAAGCGUGCGCAGGCGGUCUUGUAAGACAGUCGUGAAAGCCCCGGGCUUAACCUGGGAACUGCGUUUGAAACUACAAAGCUAG
This 466-nucleotide ribosomal RNA is filed under the name Nitrosospira sp. YKU17. RNAcentral's name for it is "bacterial SSU rRNA". It matches the Rfam family "Bacterial small subunit ribosomal RNA", at positions 198 to 644 of the family's 1533-position model. Lineage: Bacteria; Pseudomonadati; Pseudomonadota; Betaproteobacteria; Nitrosomonadales; Nitrosomonadaceae. The record is from RNAcentral.